This 336-nucleotide unclassified non-coding RNA is filed under the name soil metagenome. RNAcentral's name for it is "partial contains 5.8S ribosomal RNA, internal transcribed spacer 2, and large subunit ribosomal RNA". The stretch from base 1 to 120 matches the Rfam family "5.8S ribosomal RNA", at positions 35 to 154 of the family's 154-position model. The record is from RNAcentral.
GAUGAAGGACGUAGCGAAAUGCGAUAAGUAAUGUGAAUUGCAGAAUUCAGUGAAUCAUCGAAUCUUUGAACGCACAUUGCGCCCGCCAGUAUUCUGGCGGGCAUGCCUGUUCGAGCGUCAUUUCAACCAUCAAGCCCCAGGCUUGUGUUGGGGACCUGCGGCUGCCGCAGGCCCUGAAAACCAGUGGCGGGCUCGCUGUCACACCGGGCGUAGUAGAUUUUAUCUCGCUCAGGGCGUGCUGCGGGUCCCGGCCGUUAAAAGCCUUUUUUUACCCAAGGUUGACCUCGGAUCAGGUAGGAAGACCCGCUGAACUUAAGCAUAUCAAUAAGCGGAGGA